AACGAACGCUGGCGGCAGGCUUAACACAUGCAAGUCGAACGCUUGUAGCAAUACACGAGUGGCGCACGGGUGAGUAACGCGUGGGCAACCUGCCCCAUAGAGGGGAAUAGCCUUCCGAAAGGAAGAUUAAUACCGCAUAAGAUUGUAGCUUCGCAUGAAGUAGCAAUUAAAGGAGCAAUCCGCUAGGAGAUGGGCCCGCGGCGCAUUAGCUAGUUGGUGAGGUAACGGCUCACCAAGGCGACGAUGCGUAGCCGACCUGCGAGGGUGAUCGGCCACAUUGGGACUGAGACAAGGCCCAGACUCCUACGGGAGGCAGCAGUGGGGAAUAUUGCACAAUGGGGGAAACCCGGAUGCAGCAACGCCGCGUGAGUGAUGACGGCCUUCGGGUUGUAAAGCUCUGUCUUCAGGGACGAUAAUGACGGUACCUGAGGAGGAAGCCACGGCUAACUACGUGCCAGCAGCCGCGGUAA
RNAcentral lists this ribosomal RNA (470 nucleotides) under uncultured bacterium. Its description in RNAcentral is "partial 16S ribosomal RNA". It matches the Rfam family "Bacterial small subunit ribosomal RNA", at positions 29 to 523 of the family's 1533-position model. The record is from RNAcentral.